RNAcentral lists this small nuclear RNA (188 nucleotides) under Hypholoma sublateritium FD-334 SS-4. Its description in RNAcentral is "U2 spliceosomal RNA". It matches the Rfam family "U2 spliceosomal RNA". From Rfam's summary of the family: U2 is a small nuclear RNA (snRNA) component of the spliceosome (involved in pre-mRNA splicing). The record is from Rfam by way of RNAcentral. Lineage: Eukaryota; Fungi; Basidiomycota; Agaricomycetes; Agaricales; Strophariaceae.
CUACCACUCUGGCCUUUUGGCUUAGAUCAAGUGUAGUAUCUGUUCUUAAUAGUUUAACCACUAUUAUGGAGGCACCGCCUCCAUUCCUGGUUAUAUCAUUUUUGCCGCCCCAGUUCCCCGGGCUCUGCUUGCACCCUGGGGACGCGAUGACCUUGCCACUGCACUGCCGGCCUGUGUCGUCAGGGGAU